UACGGGGGAUGCAAGCGUUAUCCGGAAUGAUUGGGCGUAAAGCGUCCGCAGGUGGCUGUGUAAGUCUGCUGUCAAAGAGCAAAGCUCAACUUUGUAAAGGCAGUGGAAACUACACGGCUAGAGUGCGUUCGGGGCAGAGGGAAUUCCUGGUGUAGCGGUGAAAUGCGUAGAGAUCAGGAAGAACACCGGUGGCGAAGGCGCUCUGCUAGGCCGCAACUGACACUGAGGGACGAAAGCUAGGGGAGCGAAUGGG
Molecule: ribosomal RNA, 253 nt
Filed under: uncultured bacterium
Lineage: Bacteria
Description: partial 16S ribosomal RNA
Rfam family: Bacterial small subunit ribosomal RNA
Source: RNAcentral